This 465-nucleotide ribosomal RNA is filed under the name Vreelandella stevensii. RNAcentral describes it as "partial 16S ribosomal RNA". It matches the Rfam family "Bacterial small subunit ribosomal RNA", at positions 338 to 795 of the family's 1533-position model. The record is from RNAcentral. Lineage: Bacteria; Pseudomonadati; Pseudomonadota; Gammaproteobacteria; Oceanospirillales; Halomonadaceae.
CCUACGGGGGGCUGCAGUGGGGAAUAUUGGACAAUGGGGGGAAGCCUGAUCCAGCCAUGCCGCGUGUGUGAAGAAGGCCCUCGGGUUGUAAAGCACUUUCAGUGAGGAAGAACGCCUGGUGGUUAAUACCCAUCAGGAAAGACAUCACUCACAGAAGAAGCACCGGCUAACUCCGUGCCAGCAGCCGCGGUAAUACGGAGGGUGCGAGCGUUAAUCGGAAUUACUGGGCGUAAAGCGCGCGUAGGUGGCUUGAUAAGCCGGUUGUGAAAGCCCCGGGCUCAACCUGGGAACGGCAUCCGGAACUGUCAAGCUAGAGUGCAGGAGAGGAAGGUAGAAUUCCCGGUGUAGCGGUGAAAUGCGUAGAGAUCGGGAGGAAUACCAGUGGCGAAGGCGGCCUUCUGGACUGACACUGACACUGAGGUGCGAAAGCGUGGGUAGCAAACAGGAUUAGAUACCCCGGUAGUC